Long non-coding RNA from Eriocheir sinensis (Chinese mitten crab), 815 nucleotides. RefSeq lists it as uncharacterized. Lineage: Eukaryota; Metazoa; Arthropoda; Malacostraca; Decapoda; Varunidae. The record is from RefSeq and is a predicted model, not a curated record. The transcript is spliced from 3 exons.
GCCAGACGGGUGAUGCGUAUUCAAGGGACGUACGCCGCAUGAACCAACAGUACAACUUAAACAUGGCAAGCCUCGAGACUACUUCGCCAAGAUGCACGCGGAGGGCACAGACUUGGUCUACCGGUUCAACUACUACCCAGGAAGCACUAGCAGGGAGGACGCGGUGGGCAUAGGUGCCCAUCAUGACUUCGCAACCUUAACUUUCCUUUUCAGCAACGGUGGAGGAGGACUCCAGAUGCAGGAUCCAUCCGGCCAAUGGGUUGAUGUGUCCGAUGUGCCCGGCGUCGUGCUGGUCAUGGGCGGGGAGUUCCUCACCUUUUACUCCAAUAAGCGCUUCAAGGCACCAGUGACUUGACUGGCUGGAAAUUUCCAGCAAUAAAGUUUCCAAUAAAUUUUCUAGAAUCUCCAGUGAUCUCUUUAACAUUGUAAUCAAGGAUGGAAACUCAGCCUUUCCAUAUCUCAGUCGAAAAUUUAUCUCAGGUUUGGAAACUGGUGGCUUGGUUACCGCUAGAUCCCUUAUUCCUAGGCAUACAUAAUAUUUUCUUUGUACCACAAACUAUGAAAAUAUUUCACUUCUUUUCUCAUUCAGCUCCUUUGACUCAAAGAGUUAACGAAAUGAAUGGUCCAGGCACAGAACGAGCACUGCGAUCUCUAAAUAUUUACUUCGACUAUUCGACUGCCAUGCACCUCACUGUACUUCUUAAAAAAAGACCAGUAGAUAAAUUAUUGCAAUGCAAGCUAACAUUACUCCUAAAACUAUUCAUGAAAUUACAAACUCGAGGUGAAACAGACUGUUUCAUAUUUCCUGAACCCAU